UACGAAGGGGGCUAGCGUUGCUCGGAAUCACUGGGCGUAAAGGGUGCGUAGGCGGGUCUUUAAGUCAGGGGUGAAAUCCUGGAGCUCAACUCCAGAACUGCCUUUGAUACUGAAGAUCUUGAGUUCGGGAGAGGUGAGUGGAACUGCGAGUGUAGAGGUGAAAUUCGUAGAGAUCCGGAGGAACACCAGUGGCGAAGGCGACACGCUGGGCCGUACCUGACACUGAUGCGCGACAGCAUGGGGAGCAAACAGG
Molecule: ribosomal RNA, 253 nt
Filed under: uncultured bacterium
Lineage: Bacteria
Description: partial 16S ribosomal RNA
Rfam family: Bacterial small subunit ribosomal RNA
Source: RNAcentral